Long non-coding RNA from Hirundo rustica (Barn swallow), 1535 nucleotides. RefSeq lists it as uncharacterized. The transcript has 3 exons. The record is from RefSeq and is a predicted model, not a curated record. NCBI's taxonomy places the organism in Eukaryota, Metazoa, Chordata, Aves, Passeriformes, Hirundinidae.
UUUGUGCUCUUUGCUUUCUCUUACAUUUGAAUUGGUGAAGUCUUGCCUGACUGUUUCAAAAGGUUUGUCAAGCCUUGUAUGAUAACUAAGAUGUCCUCACCUGGAGAUGAUGAGCGGGCAGAAACUACAUCGAGUUAGAGGACUUGUGAUUCCUGUUCAGUGGUGUUUCUUGUGAAAAGCCCAUCAGAGCCAUGCUCUGGAGUCUGCCCAAGCUCCAGUUUACUGAAGCUCUUCUGCAGUGAUCCUGGUUUUCUCAUAAGUUCUGGGAGACUGGAAGGUUCUACAAUGGCAGGAUCCGAGGAACCCUGAGAGAGGAGACUUGAAAGCUCUUGGAUCAUGGAUAAUUUCAUUGAUUUCCAUAAAGUUAACUUCAUGUUUGAACGUGGAAGAAACCUUGCUUUGAUACUUGAAACAAGAUGGUUUUGAGCCACAGAAUGUGUGUAUGAAACCUAAGUUCCUACAGUUUGAUGCCCUUCGUCCUCUUUAACACCCCAUUGAGGCAAAAGUCUGGUAAACUACUCUAGACACCGGAUUUCCAUGUGUGCUGAUCAGCCAGCCAGUUGCUAGCAGCGUUCACAGCAGCUGAGUUUAGCCUGCUUUUCCUUCCUUGACAAUAGCUAUGAGGAUAGGGUUGUCCGUGAAAAUUAAUUUCCUGAAAAUUGGCUUUGGGGUUAAAAAAAAUGGCUGGUGCAGAAGAAACCACAGACAGAUGAACAGAUUGUAUAAUCAAAACAUGUAAUUUUUUUUUAGGAAACCUGCUAAAAUUGAGUAAUUUGGAUAGAAACCAGAAAGCACAAUGAAUUGGACCUCAGCAGUUUUCUGGCUCCUAUGCUCUAUGUCAGAGGCUAAAAUUGGUAUUUGGGAGUCCUGCUUUCCUGGGGAAUUUUUCAGAUGGAUAACAGCCAGCACCACAACCCUGGGGCGUCUUCUCUGAAGAUGAGUCCACGCUGAGGGCCUGUGAGAGCUGAGCAGGGCACGGCAGAUGCACAGUGUGCACUGGGGCUUUGUGGCUUCUGAGUCCCCUGGCUGACCUCCAGGGCCGCAUGAAUCAUCACAGGCCCAGCAUCAGAGGUGGGAUUGCUGUAAAAUGCAAUUUAUUUCCUCCUCCUGUACACCAAGUACUGCAAUAUAUACAAACUUCUAAGUAAAUGAUUUAGGAUGCACAGCUAUAAAUUUCAGUCACACACACUCUAACAGAUUUUUUAAAACAACAACAACAACAGAAAAAAAUCACAUAUUGUUCUCAUGUACUCUUGAGUUGCUUUAUAGGACUCCCUCUGUUCGUGACUGUUUCUGUUAUUGUUGGAAGAAUAAACCUUCUCAAAAUAGAUCAUCGUAAGGAUGGAAGCUGUCCAGUGACCACUUAAAUAGAAGUUUGCUGCCAGAACCAGUUUAUUUCAGCCGUGAUCACGAAGAGUCUUGUGUGCACUUAUUUGUUCGUUCUUCAAUCAAUGCUGUCUGUAAUACUGAGACACUCUGCUAGUGUCGUUAACGUUAUCCGAUGUUUUUCCAAAGCAAAGUAGAUAAACACAUAA